Molecule: long non-coding RNA, 499 nt
Organism: Dalotia coriaria
Lineage: Eukaryota; Metazoa; Arthropoda; Insecta; Coleoptera; Staphylinidae
Exons: 2
Source: RefSeq, a predicted model, not a curated record
AAAUGUAUAUCAAUAUUCACAGCGUCCUAAAGUAUUAAGCGAUUAGUAAUGGAAUUUGCUGAUAUGUUAGCGACGUAUCUCAUUCUUUCUGGUUUAGGCAACCGAAUUUUAUAUUUAUAUAAGCAGUCCUCAAGCUAUUGCUCCUUCGUCCUGGCGCCUGCCAUAAGCACAAAGCAGGAAUACAAAAAUGCAAAGUCAGCCACAACGAUAGCAAUAGGAAUGGCAACGUAUCAUGAAUAUUUUAUGCACCCCAUCAUAUUCCGCAUAUAUGAGAGCAUUCGUCAAAAAGCGCUCGGCAGUGAAGUUGCACUUCUUCGUGGGCGCGGUUUGCACAUUUCAAUCUUAUAUUCGGUGACACUAUAUUGCAACUUUGAGUAACCUUUUUUAACCAGUUUCUAGAAACUCAAUAAGUUAAUUUUCUUUAUUUCUGUUAAAUAAAUACAAUUUUAAAUAUACUAAUACAUAUUAAGCUAAGUAAAGUAAACAUCAGCUAUGGCAA